CAUCUAUCUUCUUUGUGUUUUUUCCAUUCGCGUUGAUGUUUCAACUAUUAUGAAAUUCCAUUCACUAUUUUGAAUGAAUUUCAAAACUCUGAGGCUACCAAUUUUUUUAAAAAAAUCAUUUCUUAUCCUUUCCAUGCUAAUUAUUAAUGGCUUUACUCAUUCGCUGUUCAUUUCGGGUCCUAUUGGUCGUUAUAGAAGGUAUGUAUACGAAAUAUUCUUUCCAUUCUUUUCUUCCAUAUCGUGUGUUAUGUACAAAUCUUGACAAUGUUGUUUAUCUUAUGCAGGACGUCUUCAUUCACGAGCAUACUCUUCUAAAAGUAUGACAACCUCGUCACAUGCCUCGAAGCAUGUAUGGACUAAGAAGGAGGAGGACACUCUUGUGGAGUGUUUAGUGGAUUUGGUGUCCAUGGGGGGAUGGAAAUCUGACAAUGGUAGGUUUCGACCAAGUUACCUUGUCCAAAUGGUACGCAUUACAUAAUUUGUUCGAUGAUGCAAAAUGCAUAAUAACGGAGAAGAAACUAUUCGAUAACUGGCGAAGGGACUCCUUAACAAACCAUUUUCCUAUUACGAUGAACUUGCAUAUGUAUUCGGCCAUGAAAGGGCGACGGGUCGCUUCGCUAAGACAUUCACCGACAUGGGGUCUAACAAGCCUGCCAGGUAUGAUGGGUUUGACAUGUCCAAUGGAAACGAGGAGUUCCCAUCAGUCUACAUCCAGGGGAUUCACAUGUCUCAAGAGAAUAAUGUAUGUGCAUCACGACCUUCUCGCACGUAUGAGGGUAGGGCCGGAUCGAGCGGAUUGAAGAGGAAGAGGAGAAGCCAGCAAUGCCAAGAUUGAAGUCAUACAUAUGGCGCUAGAGUGUACGAACGAGCAACUCAGGACGGUUGCGGAGUGGCCUGACGUGCCCUUGCCAAUAACAACCAUGUGUGCCAGGAAUUCUUUCGUAUAUUAUGUGAGAUGCCGGAACUAACCAGUUUGGAUAGGGCAUUGUUGCAAAGACAUCUCUUGUCUCGUAUGGACGACAUGCGAGGUCUCGUACAGAUGCCUAAUGAUGAGAGGGAGAGCUUUUGCAGAGUCCUCCUACGCGACAUCUUUAGAUAGUUUAUGUCCUUACUUCGCUGUCUUGCUUAUUAUUUUGUUACUUCAUUUGCGCUAUGUUGUUGGUUUAUUUUCUUUCCUAUUGUAAAACACG
Molecule: long non-coding RNA, 1190 nt
Organism: Cucumis melo (muskmelon)
Lineage: Eukaryota; Viridiplantae; Streptophyta; Magnoliopsida; Cucurbitales; Cucurbitaceae
Exons: 3
Source: RefSeq, a predicted model, not a curated record